GUUUUAGAUAUCUAUAUAAGUCACUUCAAUAUUUGAAAUACAAAAUAAAGUUUACUAUAAUUUCCUCAGCAGCAAAACGGUCAUUAGAGUUGUCUGCACUAGCAGACGUGACGUGACUUCCAUCUUCCUAACUGUAAACUGCAAACACGUCUGAAUCGCGUUGCGUUUUAUUACGGAACGUCACUCAAACAGACAAACCACGCC
RNAcentral lists this long non-coding RNA (204 nucleotides) under Mytilus galloprovincialis (Mediterranean mussel). The record is from RNAcentral. Lineage: Eukaryota; Metazoa; Mollusca; Bivalvia; Mytilida; Mytilidae.